Molecule: transfer RNA, 77 nt
Filed under: Candidatus Omnitrophota bacterium
Lineage: Bacteria; Pseudomonadati; Candidatus Omnitrophota
Description: tRNA-Val
Rfam family: tRNA
About the family: Transfer RNA (tRNA) molecules are approximately 80 nucleotides in length. Their secondary structure includes four short double-helical elements and three loops (D, anti-codon, and T loops). Further hydrogen bonds mediate the characteristic L-shaped molecular structure. tRNAs have two regions of fundamental functional importance: the anti-codon, which is responsible for specific mRNA codon recognition, and the 3' end, to which the tRNAs corresponding amino acid is attached (by aminoacyl-tRNA synthetases). tRNAs cope with the degeneracy of the genetic code in two manners: having more than one tRNA (with a specific anti-codon) for a particular amino acid; and 'wobble' base-pairing, i.e. permitting non-standard base-pairing at the 3rd anti-codon position.
Source: RNAcentral
GGGCGGUUAGUUCAGCUGGUAGAACGCUUCGCUUACAUCGAAGAGGUUCGCAGGUUCGAGCCCUGCUCCGCCCACCA